This 83-nucleotide transfer RNA is filed under the name Candidatus Aenigmatarchaeota archaeon. Its description in RNAcentral is "tRNA-Leu". Lineage: Archaea; Nanobdellati; Candidatus Aenigmatarchaeota. The record is from RNAcentral.
AGCCUGUACGGAAAGAAGAAAAAGAACGGAUGAUGUAUAGGCCUUUGGAGCCUUGGACCCAGGUUCAAAUCCUGGCGGGGCUA